CCUACGGGUGGCUGCAGUCGAGAAUCAUUCACAAUGGGGGAAACCCUGAUGGUGCGACGCCGCGUGGGGGAAUGAAGGUCUUCGGAUUGUAAACCCCUGUCAUGUGGGAGCAAAUUAAAAAGAUAGUACCACAAGAGGAAGAGACGGCUAACUCUGUGCCAGCAGCCGCGGUAAUACAGAGGUCUCAAGCGUUGUUCGGAAUCACUGGGCGUAAGGCGUGCGUAGGCUGUUUCGUAAGUCGUGUGUGAAAGGCGCGGGCUCAACCCGCGGACGGCACAUGAUACUGCGAGACUAGAGUAAUGGAGGGGGAACCGGAAGUCUCGGUGUAGCAGUGAAAUGCGUAGAUAUCGAGAGGAACACUCGUGGCGAAGGCGGGUUCCUGGACAUUAACUGACGCUGAGGCACGAAGGCCAGGGGAGCGAAAGGGAUUAGAUACCCGGGUAGUC
RNAcentral lists this ribosomal RNA (446 nucleotides) under uncultured bacterium. RNAcentral describes it as "partial 16S ribosomal RNA". It matches the Rfam family "Bacterial small subunit ribosomal RNA", at positions 338 to 795 of the family's 1533-position model. The record is from RNAcentral.